This 529-nucleotide ribosomal RNA is filed under the name uncultured Entrophosporaceae. RNAcentral's name for it is "SSU rRNA". It matches the Rfam family "Eukaryotic small subunit ribosomal RNA", at positions 569 to 1092 of the family's 1831-position model. The record is from RNAcentral. Lineage: Eukaryota; Fungi; Glomeromycota; Glomeromycetes; Entrophosporales; Entrophosporaceae.
AGCAGCCGCGGUAAUUCCAGCUCCAAUAGCGUAUAUUAAAGUUGUUGCAGUUAAAAAGCUCGUAGUUGAAUUUCGGGAUUGACGUGAUGGUCAUGCCUUAAGGGGUAUGAACUGUUGCAGUUGAUUUCUCACCUUCUGGAGAAACUUGAUGUCCUUUAUUGGGUGUCUUGCGGAUCCAGGACCUUUACCUUGAAAAAAUUAGAGUGUUUAAAGCAGGCAUUUUUGCUCGAAUACAUUAGCAUGGAAUAAUAGAAUAGGACGGCAUGGUUCUAUUUUGUUGGUUUCUAGGAUCACCGUAAUGAUUAAUAGGGAUAGUUGGGGGCAUUAGUAUUCAAUUGUCAGAGGUGAAAUUCUUGGAUUUAUUGAAGACUAACUACUGCGAAAGCAUUUGCCAAGGAUGUUUUCAUUAAUCAAGAACGAAAGUUAGGGGAUCGAAGACGAUCAGAUACCGUCGUAGUCUUAACCAUAAACUAUGCCGACUAGGAAUCAGACGAUGUUAAUUUUUUAAUGACUCGUUUGGCACCUUACG